This 116-nucleotide small nuclear RNA is filed under the name Canis lupus familiaris (dog). Lineage: Eukaryota; Metazoa; Chordata; Mammalia; Carnivora; Canidae. The record is from RNAcentral.
GUGCUUCCUUCAGCAGCACAUAUACUAAAAUUGGUACAAUACAGAGAUGUUUAGUAUGGCCCCGGUGUGAGGAUGACAUACAAAUUUGUCAAAUUCAUUAAGCAUUCCAUAUUUUU